AGCUCAGUCCUGGAUUAGCAGGUCCUGCCAUUCUGUGAUCAGCACAGGACACAAACCACUCACCAUGGACUUGGUGCUCACUUGGCUUUUCCUUGUCGUAAUUUUAAAAGGUGUCCAGUGUGAGGUGAAGCUGCUGGAGUCUGGAGGAGGCUUAGUGCAGCCUGGGAAGUCCCUGAAACUCUCCUGUGCAGCCUCUGGAUUCACCUUCAGUAACUACGACAUGAGCUGGGUCCGCCAAGCUCCAGGGAAGGGGCUGGAGUGGGUCGCAUACAUUAGUAGUGGUAGUAGUAGCAUCUACUAUUCCGACGCUGUGAAGGGCCGGUUCACCAUCUCCAGAGACAAUGCCAAGAACACCCUGUACCUGCAAAUGAACAAUCUCAAGUCUGAGGACACAGCCACAUAUUACUGUGCAAGAGACACAGUGAGUGAAUGCUACAGUGAGCUCAGACACAAACCUCCCUGCGGGGCUCUCAGGACCAGCAGGGGGUGCUGGGAGCACACAGAGCUGUGGGUAACAGGUGGCGUAAUGGUUCGCUACCGCACCUACCUCUUUUUACAGUGA
Non-coding RNA from Phodopus roborovskii (desert hamster), 562 nucleotides. The record is from the annotation of a RefSeq genome assembly. Lineage: Eukaryota; Metazoa; Chordata; Mammalia; Rodentia; Cricetidae.